RNAcentral lists this ribosomal RNA (496 nucleotides) under uncultured bacterium. RNAcentral describes it as "partial 16S ribosomal RNA". It matches the Rfam family "Bacterial small subunit ribosomal RNA", at positions 28 to 506 of the family's 1533-position model. The record is from RNAcentral.
GAUGAACGAUGGCGGCGUGCCUAAUACAUGCAAGUCGAGCGAACAGACGAGGAGCUUGCUCCUCUGACGUUAGCGGCGGACGGGUGAGUAACACGUGGAUAACCUACCUAUAAGACUGGGAUAACUUCGGGAAACCGGAGCUAAUACCGGAUAAUAUAUUGAACCGCAUGGUUCAAUAGUGAAAGACGGUUUUGCUGUCACUUAUAGAUGGAUCCGCGCCGCAUUAGCUAGUUGGUAAGGUAACGGCUUACCAAGGCAACGAUGCGUAGCCGACCUGAGAGGGGAAACGGCCAACGUGAAAUGGAAACCCGUCCAGACCCCCUAGGGGAGGACGCAGGGGGAAAUUUUCCGAAAGGGGCGAAAGCCUGACGGAGCAACGCCGGGGGGGGGAUAAAGGUCUUGGGACCGAAAAACCUUUUUAUUGGGAAAAAAAAAAUGUGAAAGAAACUAGGCCCGUCUGAAGGGUACCAAAUCAAAAGGCCCGGGCUAAUUCCGG